This 371-nucleotide unclassified non-coding RNA is filed under the name soil metagenome. Its description in RNAcentral is "partial contains 5.8S ribosomal RNA, internal transcribed spacer 2, and large subunit ribosomal RNA". The stretch from base 1 to 120 matches the Rfam family "5.8S ribosomal RNA", at positions 35 to 154 of the family's 154-position model. The record is from RNAcentral.
GAUGAAGAACGUAGCGAAAUGCGAUAAGUAAUGUGAAUUGCAGAAUUCAGUGAAUCAUCGAAUCUUUGAACGCACAUUGCGCCCCCUGGAAUUCCGGGGGGCAUGCCUGUUCGAGCGUCUCAGGGACGAACCCUCGCGCGGGUGUACGCGCGGUCGUGGCUGCGGUGGCGUGCCCGAGGCGGCGGCCACCACGCUGGAAUCCAUGGGCGGACGCCUGCCGCGUGGCCGAGCGUGAUAUGACGCAUUGGCGCUCGCACGCGGAGAGGCUGCCAGCCCUGGCCCGUCUGUCGGGCGGGGGAGAGCAAGACACGUGAACUCCUCGAAUCAGGUAGGGAUACCCGCUGAACUUAAGCAUAUCAAUAAGCGGAGGA